Long non-coding RNA from Gigantopelta aegis, 474 nucleotides. RefSeq lists it as uncharacterized. The transcript is spliced from 5 exons. NCBI's taxonomy places the organism in Eukaryota, Metazoa, Mollusca, Gastropoda, Neomphalida, Peltospiridae. The record is from RefSeq and is a predicted model, not a curated record.
AGAAUGGUUAUGUGAGACUGGUGGACAUAUUGUGUAAGGAAAGGAUAUUAAUCUGAGUUGGGAUAUUUUAAUACAUACGAUUGUCCUGUUCUCUUUCUGUGUGCUGGAGAAUCCAGUUUAUCUUACACCCAGGUGACAUCUACCUGGGUGUUUUUCCUUGUCUUCAUUUUGUUGUGACAUCGAACAAAUUGUCUGAACCCACCCGUAGCUGUUUUCCUUCCUGUGUUCUGGAAAAGUGAAAAAUCUGAUACUGCUACACAAAUACUUUCAACAGCCAGCAGUUUUUCAGGAGAUUGUUGUGGGUCCACAGUUUUUCCUAUAACACUGGAGUGGUUUAUACCAAUAUACAAAGAAAGCAAAACCUGAGAUCGGUGUUCAACAACAAAUAGACAACUCAAAGCAAUAACUAAAAACAAAAUAUGAUUGCACUACAUACCUAUACACUCUUUAAAAAAAUAAAAGUAUAAUUUUUAA